AUUGAACGCUGGCGGCAGGCCUAACACAUGCAAGUCGAGCGGAUGAAGGGAGCUUGCUCCUGGUUUCAGCGGCGGACGGGUGAGUAAUGCCUAGGAAUCUGGCUGGCAGUGGGGGAUAACGUCCGGAAACGGGCGCUAAUACCGCAUACGUCCUGAGGGAGAAAGUGGGGGAUCUUCGGACCUCACGCUAUCAGGUGAGCCUAGGUCGGAUUAGCUAGUUGGUGGGGUAAAGGCCUACCAAGGCGACGAUCCGUAACUGGUCUGAGAGGAUGAUCAGUCACACUGGAACUGAGACACGGUCCAGACUCCUACGGGAGGCAGCAGUGGGGAAUAUUGGACAAUGGGCGCAAGCCUGAUCCAGCCAUGCCGCGUGUGUGAAGAAGGUCUUCGGAUUGUAAAGCACUUUAAGUUGGGAGGAAGGGCAGUAAGUUAAUACCUUGCUGUUUUGACGUUACCAACAGAAUAAGCACCGGCUAACUUCGUG
RNAcentral lists this ribosomal RNA (484 nucleotides) under uncultured bacterium. RNAcentral's name for it is "partial 16S ribosomal RNA". It matches the Rfam family "Bacterial small subunit ribosomal RNA", at positions 30 to 507 of the family's 1533-position model. The record is from RNAcentral.